UACGAAGGGUGCAAGCGUUACUCGGAAUUACUGGGCGUAAAGCGUGCGUAGGUGGUUCGUUAAGUCUGAUGUGAAAGCCCUGGGCUCAACCUGGGAAUGGCAUUGGAUACUGGCGAUCUAGAGUGCGGUAGAGGGCAGUGGAAUUCCCGGUGUAGCAGUGAAAUGCGUAGAGAUCGGGAGGAACAUCUGUGGCGAAGGCGGCGUUCUGGACUGCAACUGACACUGAAAAACGAAAGCCAGGGGAGCAAACGGG
This 253-nucleotide ribosomal RNA is filed under the name uncultured bacterium. RNAcentral describes it as "partial 16S ribosomal RNA". It matches the Rfam family "Bacterial small subunit ribosomal RNA", at positions 524 to 776 of the family's 1533-position model. The record is from RNAcentral.